UACGUAGGGGGCAAGCGUUGUCCGGAAUCAUUGGGCGUAAAGAGCGCGUAGGCGGCCCGAUAAGUCCGCUGUGAAAGUCAAGGGCUCAACCCUUGAAUGCCGGUGGAUACUGUCGGGCUAGAGUCCGGAAGAGGCGAGUGGAAUUCCUGGUGUAGCGGUGAAAUGCGCAGAUAUCAGGAAGAACACCUAUGGCGAAGGCAGCUCGCUGGGACGGUACUGACGCUGAGGCGCGAAAGCGUGGGGAGCAAACAGG
RNAcentral lists this ribosomal RNA (253 nucleotides) under uncultured bacterium. Its description in RNAcentral is "partial 16S ribosomal RNA". It matches the Rfam family "Bacterial small subunit ribosomal RNA", at positions 524 to 776 of the family's 1533-position model. The record is from RNAcentral.